This is a long non-coding RNA of Limulus polyphemus (Atlantic horseshoe crab), 499 nucleotides long. RefSeq lists it as uncharacterized. The record is from RefSeq and is a predicted model, not a curated record. The transcript is spliced from 2 exons. Lineage: Eukaryota; Metazoa; Arthropoda; Merostomata; Xiphosura; Limulidae.
AGCAAGUAACAAGGAUGAGAUCUUUCCCGGUUAUCAUAGUUUGUGGUGUUUUAAUUCUUGUUGGAAACACAAUAGCACAUAAGGAAAGAUUAAAGUGUCCAGACUGGCCAGUUUUCAUUAGAGAUCCUUGCCCAGAUGGCGCAGCUCCAGACUCUCCAUGUUGGAAAGAUGAUGAGUGUUGUGGAAACUUGAAGUGUUGCCAGGACUUUCAUGACUGUCGAUUUAAAUGUACAAAAGGCGUAAAACCCAUCGCUUGAUCAUACACUACCAAUGUUUUUUACUUUGUAAAACAGACUAACUGAUUUUUUAAAAUUAUUUUUUGGAAUUGUUUGUGUUUAUAAAAAAUUUUAUUGUGCAAAAAAUUAUUUUUUACCACGCUAAAUAAAUACACAAGGGCGAUUUCUGAGCACCUAGGCUUUUCUUUUAUCUUAUUAAGUUGCAAACUAACAAUAAGAGCUUGGAAUGUAAUAACAGUCUAAAUAAAAUUAAACAAAACAAA